GACGAACGCUGGCGGCGUGCCUAACACAUGCAAGUCGAACGGAGUGAAACGCUGAAUUGAAGGUAGCUUGCUACUGAAUUUUCUUGUUUCACUUAGUGGCGGACGGGUGAGUAACGCGUGAGUAACCUGCCUUACAGAGGGGGACAACAGUUGGAAACGACUGCUAAUACCGCAUGACACAUUCGGAUGGCAUCACCUGAAUGUCAAAGAUUUUAUCGCUGAAAGAUGGCCUCGCGUCCGAUUAGAUAGUUGGCGGGGUAACGGCCCACCAAGUCGACGAUCGGUAGCCGGACUGAGAGGUUGAUCGGCCACAUUGGGACUGAGACACGGCCCAGACUCCUACGGGAGCAGCAGUGGGGAUAUUGCACAAUGGGCGAAAGCCUGAUGCAGCAACGCCGCGUGAGGGAAGAAGGUCUUCGGAUUGUAAACCUUUGUCCUAAGUGAAGAACAAAUGACGGUAGCUUAGGAGGAAGCCACGGCUAACUACGUGCCAG
Molecule: ribosomal RNA, 494 nt
Filed under: uncultured bacterium
Lineage: Bacteria
Description: bacterial SSU rRNA
Rfam family: Bacterial small subunit ribosomal RNA
Source: RNAcentral